GAUGAACGCUGGCGGCGUGCCUAAUACAUGCAAGUCGAGCGAACAGACGAGGAGCUUGCUCCUCUGACGUUAGCGGCGGACGGGUGAGUAACACGUGGAUAACCUACCUAUAAGACUGGGAUAACUUCGGGAAACCGGAGCUAAUACCGGAUAAUAUAUUGAACCGCAUGGUUCAAUAGUGAAAGACGGUUUUGCUGUCACUUAUCGAUGGAUCCGCGCCGCAUUAGCUAGUUGGUAAGGUAACGGCUUACCAAGGCAACGAUGCGUAGCCGACCUGAGAGGGUGAUCGGCCACACUGGAACUGAGACACGGUCCAGACUCCUGCGGGAGGCAGCAGUAGGGAAUCUUCCGCAAUGGGCGAAAGCCUGACGGAGCAACGCCGCGUGAGUGAUGAAGGUCUUCGGAUCGUAAAACUCUGUUAUUAGGGAAGAACAAAUGUGUAAGUAACUAUGCACGUCUUGACGGUACCUAAUCAGAAAGCCACGGCUAACUACGUG
This 497-nucleotide ribosomal RNA is filed under the name uncultured bacterium. RNAcentral describes it as "partial 16S ribosomal RNA". It matches the Rfam family "Bacterial small subunit ribosomal RNA", at positions 28 to 507 of the family's 1533-position model. The record is from RNAcentral.